AUCCUGCUCAUGCUCUGUCUCUGUCUCUCUGUCUCUCAAAAAUAAAUAAACAUUAAGAAAAAUUUUUUUAAAAUAAGUAAGUAAAUAUUUAAAAAAAAUUUUUUUUAAUGGCACUAUGACUUCAUUGGCUUUGUGCCACUAUUUGACCAAGGCUUAUAGCAUAAUAUACUGGGAACCAGGGCAAAAUAGAUUACCAGUUUAAUAAAACAUAUGUCUUAGAGGUUUAUCAUAUUUCUUAUUAGCAAUUUUCCCAUUCAGCUGCUCAUCAUAAUUCAUCAUGUUUGUGGAUUACCCAAUCCCAGCAUAGACAGAGUCACGCUGUGUAUUUAUUUGCACUGGAUUCCUGGUUAAUGUUUCACUUACAACGUUCUUUUCCCCCCCGAGUUUAAAAGUAUUCAGCAUACUGAUUUAAUUAACUUUCAGCUAACUAAUUGAAUUCCUGAAUUGUAUUACUGAUCUACUUUUGCGAAUUUAAAAUACAACAUAACACAAUACAUUUCAAAUUUAACACAUAAACAAUAACACAUAUUGUGAAACAACAUGUCCACACCCUACUAAUUGCACAUUACCUGAGACAAACUGUAGAGCUAACGCAACCUAAACCUUAAGAGCAAAAUGAUUAUUGAGAGUAUAACAGGAUUUCUGAGAAAAUCAUACUUAACAUGACAUCUAAAGUUUGUGAAAUAGGUGUGAAUAAAGCUUCUCAUCCCAAUAAAAUAGCCUGUAGACAACUUAAUGGGCCCCUGGGUCCAGAGACCACAUAUUGGAAGAAGGCUGAUAGAUGGGGAAGGAAAAAAAAAAAAAAAAAAAAAAAAUAUAUAUAUAUAUAUAUAUAUAUAUAUAUAUAUAUAUUGCAGAGUCACGUGACCAGAGGACUCAUUGAAAUAAAAAAAUGUAAAUGGAUGAAAAGGCGAAAAAUUGAAAGGAAAUGUACAGUAUGAUCCCAUUUAUGUAAAAAAGUGAGUGUAAAUUUUAAGUACAUAGGAAGAAAGCACUGGAAGGAAAAAUUAUCAGUGAUCAGCCUAGGGAGGGGAGGGGCUAGGAGAGCAAAGGGAACCUUCAUGUUCUACUCUCUAUAUGCGUAUCUUUUUUUUUAAUGUUUAUUAUUUAUUUUUGAGAGAGAGAGAGAGAGGAAGAAUGCUCAGCAGGCCCUGCACUGUCAGCACAGAGCCUGCCACGGGGCUUGAACCCACGAUCCAUGAAAUCAUGACCUGAGCCAAAAUCAGGAGUCAGACUUAUAACCAGCUGAGCCACCCAGGUGCCCCAUGUAUGCCUCUUAUUAAUUUCAAAUUGUGGUCAAAUACACACAACACAAAAUUUACUAAACUACCUUUAAGUAUAGAGUUCAACAGUGUUAAGUAUAUUCACAUUGUUGUGCAACCAAUCUCUAGAACUCUAUCAUCUGAAAAAGUUGAAACUCUUUACCAAUUAAAUAGCAACUUCCAAUUUCCUUCUUCCCCCAACCCCUGGUGACCAUUUUUCCACUUUCUGUCUCUAUGAAUUUGACUAUUCUAGCUCCCUCGUAUAAGUGGUAUCAUUUCAAUAUUUGUCCAUUUGUAUCUGGUUUAUUUCACUUAACAUAAUGUCUUCAAGGUUCAUUCAUGUUGUAGCCUUUAUCAGAAAUUCAUUUCUUUUUAAGCCUGAAUGAUAUUCCAUUGCAUGUUUAUUCCACAUUUUGUUCAUUCAUUCAUGGACACUUAAGUUGCUUCCACCUUUUGGGUGUUGUGAAUAGUGCUCCUCUGAACACAGGCGUGCAAAUACCUCUUCAAGACCCUUUCAGUUCUUUUCGGCCUUCCUAUUUUGGAAAAAUCGGAAAUUCAUUUUCAACUCAACAAGUAUGGGUGCUAAGGGCAGCAGUUGGAGAUGACACAUGUACACAUCCAUACAUUUUAAAUUCAACAAAUAUUUACUGGGUAUCUAAUACGUGCCAGGUUGUACGUUCGCCACUGGGAAUUUAACAAUGAACAAAUCAUCAAUGCUUUUUCUUUCUUUUUCUUUCUCAUAACAGCUUUAUUGUAGUAUAACUCAGACACCAUACAGUACCCCAAUUGAAGUGUACAAUUCAGUGGUUUUUAGUGUAUUCACAAAGUAGUACAAUUAUCACCAGUAUUUUCAACACCCUUCAAAAGAAACCCCCUAACCAGUAGCAAUCACUCCCCGUUUCUCCCAACCCUCAGCAACCAUUUCAUUCUAUUUUUGCCUAUUCGGACAUUUUGUAUAAAUGGAAUCAUACAGUU
Prionailurus viverrinus (fishing cat) is the source of this 2237-nucleotide long non-coding RNA. RefSeq lists it as uncharacterized. The record is from RefSeq and is a predicted model, not a curated record. The transcript has 2 exons. NCBI's taxonomy places the organism in Eukaryota, Metazoa, Chordata, Mammalia, Carnivora, Felidae.